RNAcentral lists this ribosomal RNA (253 nucleotides) under uncultured bacterium. RNAcentral describes it as "partial 16S ribosomal RNA". It matches the Rfam family "Bacterial small subunit ribosomal RNA", at positions 524 to 776 of the family's 1533-position model. The record is from RNAcentral.
UACGUAGGUGGCAAGCGUUAUCCGGAUUCACUGGGUUUAAAGGGUGCGUAGGUGGGCAGGUAAGUCAGUGGUGAAAUCUCCGGGCUUAACCCGGAAACUGCCGUUGAUACUAUCUGUCUUGAAUAUAGUGGAGGUGAGCGGAAUAUGUCAUGUAGCGGUGAAAUGCUUAGAUAUGACAUAGAACACCCAUUGCGAAGGCAGCUCGCUACACUAUCAUUGACACUGAGGCACGAAAGCGUGGGGAUCAAACAGG